GACGAACGCUGGCGGCGUGCUUAACACAUGCAAGUCGAGCGGUAAGGCCCUUUCGGGGGUACACGAGCGGCGAACGGGUGAGUAACACGUGGGUGACCUGCCCUCAGCUCUGGGAUAAGCCUGGGAAACCGGGUCUAAUACCGGAUAUGACUCCAUGACGCAUGUUGUGGGGUGGAAAGCCUUGUGCGGCUGAGGAUGGGCCCGCGGCCUAUCAGCUUGUUGGUGGGGUGAUGGCCUACCAAGGCGACGACGGGUAGCCGGCCUCGAGAGGGCGACCGGCCGACACCGGGACUGAGACACGGCCCAGGACUCCUACGGGAGGCGAGGCAGUGGGGAAUCGUUGCGCAAUGGGCGAAA
RNAcentral lists this ribosomal RNA (357 nucleotides) under uncultured bacterium. RNAcentral describes it as "bacterial SSU rRNA". It matches the Rfam family "Bacterial small subunit ribosomal RNA", at positions 28 to 380 of the family's 1533-position model. The record is from RNAcentral.